Molecule: ribosomal RNA, 648 nt
Filed under: uncultured Alphaproteobacteria bacterium
Lineage: Bacteria; Pseudomonadati; Pseudomonadota; Alphaproteobacteria
Description: bacterial SSU rRNA
Rfam family: Bacterial small subunit ribosomal RNA
Source: RNAcentral
CAUGCCUAACACAUGCAAGUCGAACGAACCCUUCGGGGUUAGUGGCGCACGGGUGCGUAACGCGUGGGAAUCUGCCCUUUGCUUCGGAAUAACAGUUAGAAAUGACUGCUAAUACCGGAUGAUGUCUUCGGACCAAAGAUUUAUCGGCAAAGGAUGAGCCCGCGUAGGAUUAGGUAGUUGGUGGGGUAAAGGCCUACCAAGCCGACGAUCCUUAGCUGGUCUGAGAGGAUGAUCAGCCACACUGGGACUGAGACACGGCCCAGACUCCUACGGGAGGCAGCAGUGGGGAAUAUUGGACAAUGGGCGAAAGCCUGAUCCAGCAAUGCCGCGUGAGUGAUGAAGGCCUUAGGGUCGUAAAGCUCUUCUACCCGGGAUGAUAAUGACAGUACCGGGAGAAUAAGCCCCGGCUAACUCCGUGCCAGCAGCCGCGGUAAUACGGAGGGGGCUAGCGUUGUUCGGAAUUACUGGGCGUAAAGCGUACGUAGGCGGUUAUUCAAGUCAGAGGUGAAAGCCCGGGGCUCAACCCCGGAACGGCCUUUGAAACUAGGUAGCUAGAGUCUUGGAGAGGUCAGUGGAAUUCCGAGUGUAGAGGUGAAAUUCGUAGAUAUUCGGAAGAACACCAGUGGCGAAGGCGACUGACUGGACAAG